This 3089-nucleotide unclassified non-coding RNA is filed under the name Hevea brasiliensis (rubber tree). The record is from RNAcentral. Lineage: Eukaryota; Viridiplantae; Streptophyta; Magnoliopsida; Malpighiales; Euphorbiaceae.
CACCCUUUUAGAACCCAGAAAUUAAAAACAUAAUAUCCCAACCACAAUCUCAUAUCACCAAUCCAGAAACCCACAAUCUCAUAUCACAAUAUGGGUUCGGACGCCAAAAACCAAUACCGCAAAAACUGUGCUCUGCCUUGCGCUGACCCUGCCCAUCGACUGGAAUACAAAUGCUAUCCGGAUGAACAAGAAAACCUCGCAUGAAAAUGAAAGAUAUUUGAGUCAAGCCCCAACUCAACCCCUGUAUAUGCCCUUGAAGUCCGGCCGGCGUACUCUUCCCCAUAAGCCUAAAGCACCAAAUGGCUAUUGUGCGAGAUAACAAUAGCUAUAACAGCAAGAGGAUGGGAUAAAUUGGAUAAUAACACCAAAGGUUCCGUUCCCUUUGAAACCAUUCUUGAAUCCUUCAAAAUCAUCGAAUAAUAGGAUUAGAAGCAAAGAAUCAAGAUCCCAGACUCCAUGAAGCUCGCGUACUGCGCGGUUGCUGUGGACUGCACGGUGAAGCACUUGGGUGUUGUGGGAAGCAAACGCAAGCGUGACCCUGAGAUGUUUUUCGAGGCAGUGAAGACGAUUUGGAGGGAAAGAGUUGACAAGUUGGAGUUUUUGAAGAAAAGCGAGUUGGUUACUGAUGAGUUGAGGGAGUUUAAGGAGGAGAUGGAGGCGGCUUUGUGGGAUUCGAAUGCGUGUGGGAGGUUGUUGGAGAGGGCUACGCGAAAUGAAGCGUUAAGACUGGUUAUGGAUUAUUUAAAGGAGGCUUUGGAUGAAAUGGGUCCUCCAUUUCUUGAAUUGCUUGCCAGAACUGAGAGGGAAAGGGAGGAGAAGCAAAUGGAAGAGAAGGAAAAGGAUGCUGAUAAAGUUGGGGUGAAAGCAAGCAGGGAACCAGAAGUAGGUGUUGCAGGUGGGUCUGCAAGGAAAGAAACUCAGAACAAUGAUAUGCUUCAUACUAGCAACAACCUUAAAGGAUCAGGUGGCAUUAUGGAUUCUGAAAAAGUAGUCAUGAACAUUCCUACUCCUGAAGUUAAAAUAGUGAAAGAAGCACUUAAAUCCAGCUCCAUGGAGUUAAAAGCUUUGUUGAAUGACCCUCUACCCAAUGCUUUACAUUUGUCUGAGGCUUUAAUGCCUGAAAGAAAAGCCUUGAAUAAGGAGAUUUUAGUAGAAAAUCAGGUUGGAAAGGGUGUAGAUGUGCCCAAUCCUUCCGUUAAUGUUGUAGUCUCCAUAGAAACACCCAAUACAUCAGUUACUCAAACUAUUGAAUCCAUUCAAACUAUGAAGAAUGGUGCUGGAAUUCAAAUUUGUAACAAUCAGAUUGUUGUUUCCAAACACAGCUUAAUGGAGAAGAAUAGUACUGCUCGUACCUAUGAGUGGGAUGAUUCAAUUGAUGGUUCACCUGAAGGUGCCAGUGGUAUGAACAGAUUUCAGUUAGCUAAGCCAAGGACAAAGGUUGUGUCUCCAUUGAAGGAGUAUAAAAUCCCUAAGUUUGCUGGAAGGAGAAAAGUCAAGAGGUGGAGCGUGGAAGAGGAAGAUGCAUUGAGGGAGGGUGUGCAAUUGUAUGCAAUUUUGUUAACAAGACAAAUUUUGUUUUUGAAAAUAUAGAAUUCAUGGUUUAGUUAACUUUCAUUUUCUGCUUUAUUAUCUUCUACUAUAAGAAAGACUUGGCUUUUACCUUUAUAGGUAUUGCUGCUUCAAUUGUGCAAGUAUAAAACCAGUAGUUUAAUUUUUUUAUAUUUUACUGUUUGUAUAAAUUUUUGGGUUCUUAUUCUUUUUCCCCUUCUUCAUUGGAAGGUUUGGUAGAGGAAACUGGAAGGCUAUCUUAGACUUUAAGCGUGACAUAUUUUAUGACAGAACUGAGGUAAAUAUGCUCAAUGUUGUGCACUAUUUUCUGUUUGGUUUCUAAAAUUUGUAUUCUUUGUAUUAGUGCUGCAUACUAGUUCUCUUUAAAAUACUUUUUCAGGUUGAUUUGAAGGACAAGUGGAGAAACAUGACAAAAUAGCAACCUGCAUAAACCUAUUUUGUUAAUUUUGAUGAAGGUAUAUGUAACCUUAUAUAAUCAAGUAGAGAAACACCAAUCAGAGUCUGCUGUCUUAUGACUUUUUUGGCUGAAGAUGUAUGUAACCCCUAAUCUGCACGUGACGUAGUUUUGCGCUGAAGAUGCAUAUAGAACUGCAUAACCUAGUUUUGUGUUGAAGAUGUAUAUAACCCUGCAAAACUGUUUUGUAGGUUGGUUGACCAUGGCAUAUUUUUGUCUGCUAGAUAUACUGUUUAUGGCAAGUCUCUCUGGGUUUUCAUUUGGAGUUCUUGUCUGACUUUUUCCCAUGAAUGAAGUAUUUGUAUUUAUCCCGACUACUUGGCCAGCUUAGACUGAUGUGAUAUACCAGAGAAAUUUUUAUAUUCUUUUUGCAACCUUCUCAUGAAUUCUGGGGAGUGAAAAAAAAGUGACUCUUUUGAUGGCUUUUGAUUAUAGUCUUUAAUUGUUCUUCUCCUUUCAAUUCUCUCUUUAAGUACUACAAAAUGAAUUUAAGCUAUUUGCUUUUAUGGCUGUUCAAUUAGGUAGGUCCAAUCUACUCAACUGCAACUUAUCCAACCUACCUGAAAGGUCAGUUUUCAGGUUAUUUCCAAAGAUGAUGAGGUUCUUUCUUUCGAAGUAUGCAGUCUAUUAUUGCUCGGACUCGUACUCUGCAUAUGUGUUUCCUUCUUCUUUUCAUGAUUUCAGUGUGGGUUUUUCUACCUUUUUGUGAUAUACUGGUGUUGAUGUAAAUGGUUUUUUAUUAGGGGAGGGUUGGAGGUCAGGUCUGUUAAAAAAUGUUUAUAAUCUCAUAUUAAAUUUUGUACUUUAGUUUUUUUUUACUUUGUAGCUGUUAAUGUGAAUGAGUGCCAUUUGUGGCCUGCAUGUCUUUGGAUUAUGAACUUAUUAUCCAUAAUUAUAUUUGGCAUGUUUGAGACUCCUGGUUGUAAGGCCUUAGGGUAAGCUAGUUUUUGUCCGGACAUUUGGUCCCAAUGUUUUGAGACAUGUAUGUUCUGGUUCCAGGGCCAAGGGGACGGUGACCGGACUAAAGGUCACCCGGUCCCGAUUUUGAUUCUAAUUUCUAUUUCUG